Molecule: unclassified non-coding RNA, 1433 nt
Filed under: Bombus terrestris (buff-tailed bumblebee)
Lineage: Eukaryota; Metazoa; Arthropoda; Insecta; Hymenoptera; Apidae
Description: misc RNA ENSBTSG00005033697.1
Source: RNAcentral
CUCAUAAAAUUGCGGUCGACCGUGAAACGACAACGUUCUGAACAUCGCUGGAAUAUGCAUACGAGCGCAUGGACAUAUCGUAAUUGACUCGUCCGACAUUUCUCUGGGCGAAGGUGCCUUGUAACGACCUUUGCGAUGAUGCUCUAAACAACACCGCCAUAGUUUUUCUUCUUCUUCCUAGCGCUCAACCGUAACCUCUUGUUCGCGUUGUUUGUGUUUCUUUGUUUUGACUCGUUGGAUGUUCGGUGGUUACGCCAGGCUAUGACACAUGAUAAGUAGUCUUUAAUUGGAGUCACUGGAUGAUUGUGUUAUACAUGUGGAGGUGCACUACUGAGGGACCAAGGUUCAUUGAGUUUAACUGUAUUGUUCAUAGCAUGGACUCUAACAUUACAUGGGAAGGUCAGUCAGAUCAUUUUGAUCCAUUACUGAAUUAGCAAAAAUUAUUGCUUUCAUUUGAUGUGUACUUUUUCUUAUAAUUUAAAGUAAUGGUGAAUUAAUAGCAUAUUCUGUGGCACUGAAACUCUAAUUGGGAUGAGAAAGAAGAUUAUUAUUAGAGAAAGAUGUGAUUGUUUUAUAUUGUCCUAAUUUCUUCCUCCAAAUUGAAUAUUAAUACUGGAACGAAAUACAUAGUGCCUGCUUGUAUUGUUAUCGAAAUAAAUAAUAUCCAAUCAUCUUAUCAGUAUCUGGAAAAACGUUCAAGUAGCCAUGAAGCUAAGCGUAAUCAGCAUAGACAUACAACAAGGAGAAAAGCUAAAUGAAAAUUUGACGAUUUGGAAAGUUGAAUGAAAAAGUUGAAAAUUUACAUAGUAUAACCAGAAAGCUAUGAAAAGGAAGAUAAGUUAAAUUCUAAAGACUUCAUUAUAGAAAAAACACCGACCAAUAACACAAAUGCAGUUAAAUAAUAAGUAGGAAAAUACAUUGUACUGUAGCAUAUUGGUAUCAUAGUUAAAUCAUGUACAUAUAUAUUAUAUUAAAACUAAGACAAAAGAAUUAAACUACAUGUACAUCUAAUAAUAGUGGGCUGUAAAGAUAGAAUAACUAUUCCUAGGAUUAGGAAGAGUGUACAUGUAACAAGUAAAUCACUAUGCUAAGCCAAAGAACCUCCUUGUGAUAGACAUACAGUCUGACUAAAUGAAGUAUUCUUACAUUAUUAUAUUAAUGUUUACAAGCGGUGAAAAUAGGAAGAAUGGAGACAUUUCUUGUCCUAUUCCAUAAAGAAGAUCAGCCAUUCCCUGUUUUUACUCCAAAGUUUUUACGCUCAUUACACAUUUUAUUUAUAAUUUUUCAUUAUUCAACAGUUUUAUAACAUCAAAGUGCCACUAAUAGAAUGUAUUAUAACAUAAAAUAAAAAUAAUGCAAUAAAAUGUAUUUCAGUUUUUAAAUAAAUACGAACCACCCUUAUACAUAUAUAAAUAAUAAAUUAUCUAACUAGA